CCUACGGGCGGUAGCAGUGGGGGAUAUUGCACAAUGGGGGAAACCCUGAUGCAGCGCCGCCGCGUGAGUGAAGAAGUAUUUCGGUAUGUAAAGCUCUAUCAGCGGGGAAGAAAAUGACGGUACCUGCCCAAGAAGCCCCGGCAAACCACGUGCCAGCAGCCGCGGUAAUACGUAGGGGCAAGCGUUAUCCGGGAUUACGGGGUGUAAAGGGAGCGUAGACGGUUAUGUAAGUCUGGAGGGAAAGCCCGGGGCCCAACCCCGGGACUGCUUUGGAAACUGUGUAACUGGAGUACAGGAGGGGCAGGCGGAAUGCCUGGUGUAGCGGUGAAAUGCGUAGAUAUCAGGAGGAACACCGGCGGCGAAGGCAGCCUGCUGGACUGAAACUGACGUUGAGGCUCGAAAGCGUGGGGAGCAAACAGGAUUAGAUACCCUUGUAGUC
RNAcentral lists this ribosomal RNA (439 nucleotides) under uncultured bacterium. Its description in RNAcentral is "partial 16S ribosomal RNA". It matches the Rfam family "Bacterial small subunit ribosomal RNA", at positions 338 to 795 of the family's 1533-position model. The record is from RNAcentral.